GAUGAACGCUGGCGGCGUGCUUAACACAUGCAAGUCGAACGGAAAGGCCCUGCUCUUGUUGGUCGCUCGAGAGGCGAACGGGUGUGUAAAACGUGAGUAUCCUGCCCUUGUCUGUGGGAUAACUUCUGGAAACUGGGGCUAAUACCGGAUAGGAGCUCCUGCUGCAUGGGGGGGGAUGGUAAGAUUCGGCGGUUGGGGAUGGUCUCGCGGCUUAUCAGCUUGUUGGUGGGGUAGUGGCUUACCAAGGCUUUGACGGGUAGCCGGCCUGAGAGGGUGACCGGCCACAUUAGGACUGAGAUACGGCCCAGACUCCAACGGGACGCAACGGUGGAGAAUAUUACACAGUGGGCGGGAGCCUGAUGCGACAACGCCGCGUGCGGGAUGACGGGCUUCGAGUUGUAAACCACUUUCGCCUGUGACGUGGCGUUAGUGACGGUAAUUGAUAAAGAAGCACCGGCUAACUACGUG
Molecule: ribosomal RNA, 468 nt
Filed under: uncultured bacterium
Lineage: Bacteria
Description: partial 16S ribosomal RNA
Rfam family: Bacterial small subunit ribosomal RNA
Source: RNAcentral